UUAGACACCAUUUAGAGAAGAUUUGGAUCAGACAGUAACUCCAAAGUUACCACAGUAACUUUGGAGAGUUACCACAGUAAGAUUGGAGAAGUUUGGGCAAGUUGGUGUAAAAGUGAAUAGUGAAUCACUAGUCACUAUUCAGGUUGACUAUUCACUAUUUGGAUCACUAUUCAGGAUGUGAGGCACCAAGGUUUGAAUCUAGUCAAAGGGAAUCAAGAAGAUGCUGUGUGGAGCUGAUUGGUUACUUUGGAGCAUGGACAGGCUGGCUGUUGCUGUAAAGGAAGAGCAGCCACGACCAUGCACCUAGACUGAUCUGUAGACAGAUACAAAGGAGCCUAAGGAGAGCCAAUCACAGCACAGCCUUGGUUUGAAUUAAAGUGAGCCAGCUUAGCUUAUCCAAUCAGCACACAUCACUCAGAUUACAACAAGACCAACUCAUCCUCACCAUCCAUUCCCCUUAAGUUAUUUCUAUCCAUUAGAUAUAGGUUUAUGAGUUUGCAAGAGUGUAAAACCUAUAUAAAGACCCUCAUGGGCGUUUGUAACUCUCUUAAGAGAGUAUGGGGGAUUUCCCCAACUCCUUCAUAAAUAUAAAAGUGUGUUCUUGAUCAGAUUCCCUUAAUCUACCCCUUUCUUAGUCUCUAAUCUCUUAAUCUCUCUAAGUCUCUUUGUUUCUGAUUCAAGUUGAUACUAGUUUCAUCAGACCUCUUAUUCAACUAGUUCAAGACCUUAUUCUCUGCCUCUAAUGGCUUCUCAUACACAUACACAGCCAGAGUUCUCAAAUCUCAUAUGGUAUCAGAGCCAGGUUCAUCAGAACCUGAGCUGAGCUUCCGCAAAUCCACAGCUCUCAUCUCAGCUCAAACCAAACCCUUGAAGUCAUAUCCAUCCGAGUUCAGCUCUUGAAGAAGAAGAGACUUGAAGCCAUGGAGUGUUAUCCUGUCCCUCAAGCCGUUGCUGUGUGUACCUGAUGGAGAGAGUCUCAUUGGAAGCAAAGGAGGAUGGAGAGGCGUCAUGAACCUCAAGCCAAAACUCCUUGUCCAAGAGCUUGUUACAUCCUGCUACAAGAAAGAUGAAGUGAAGAGAAGCAGGCUUGAUAGUAUGGAGCAAGGAGGGGUCUUUGGAUGUGAGAAACAAGAAGGAGGCCAUGGACUGAAGGAGAAGGAGUUGGGUGACGACCUAGACUCUUGAAUCCAACCAUAUCAUGGCCAGAUUGCCUUUGGAGGUUUAAGGAACCAACCUGGUUCCUUGUGUAAGCGAUUCUUAAAACCUUCUUGAUAAUGAGCUUGUGUUGUGUUAUUGCCUGGUUAGUGUGAUGUGUAUUGAUUGAAAAACCCUGAGGAUAAUGUGUGAUUGCUAAAUAUAAUUAGUUGAAUCUGUCCCAGGAUGCUUUAAAGGCUUGUUUAGUGUUUAAAGAGUAAAAUGCUUGCUCCUGUUAAGUAAUGAGUUUGCUAAAUGUGAAAUGAUAUUGUUUGAAGCUCAUGAACUGAAAACAGAUUGAAAGUAAUGCAUUGUCUGAUGAUAAGUGAUGAUAGUAAUGCUUAGCCUAAGUUAUAAAUGAAUGUGUGAUGAAUUGUAUUGUUGCAUUCAUGAAUUAAAACUGAUUAAGGUUAGUGCAUACUGUCAAAUGGCUGUCUUACAUUGAAGCAUUAGAUUCAUGUCUAAAUGCUGAGAAAAGAAGCUUUAAAAAUUGCCUAAGUAGCUUGUAUUGAAUCUGUUAGGAUCAUGCUAGUGCUUAGAGAGUUUGCUUGCAAAGAUUAGAACUUGAAAAUGUCUAGUUUAAUCUGUUGCAUUGCUUAAAGACAUUGGUGUUCAAACUUGAUGAUGCAUCAAGGGUUGACCCAAUGCACUUGUGUCUUAUCUUUGCUGGAGUUUGAGUGAUGUUUCAGGUUCACAAGAGGUGUUCUUGGUUCACCAUCCAUCCGAGUUGAAAGAGGAAGACUUUGCCCAUUGUGUGGAGCAAUGGAGAGUUGAGAAAGAAGUGGUGAUGCACCACUGGUGUGAAGUCUCACUGAAGCUCACUUGCAAGCUUGGACCUAUACUCAAUCCAAGCUUGAGGAGGGGAGUUUAGUGAGCUUCCAACCGAUCCAAGAAGUCCAUUGCAACCAUCUGAAGAAGGAGCCAUCCGGGCUUAGGCUGUGGCGAGUCUAUUCAAGAGAGUACUCAAACUAAGACAGAGUACUCUUGGCUGUGAGAAGAUGAAGGCAACUCUAUCAAGGCGGCUUCUAGUGUGAAGUGAUUGGAGAGAUAGCUGAAGCUUCCACAAGCAUUCCAUGAAGAUGGCAAGAUCAGAAGAGAAGCGGCAAUGGUGUGUGUGUGAGGAUCAUGAAGCAAUCCAUUCAAGCUUGUUCCUGUGAGAGUCUCAAGCUUGAGGGGGAGUGUUGAAGCUUACAUGAUCCAAGAGAGCUUGGUGGUUAUUCUAGAAGAGGAAGCAACCUGUUGAGAAGUAUGAUGAAGGAUGAAGAAGCAAUGUCCAAGGCGGCGUCAAGUGUUGAGGUGAUUGGAGAGUGGCUGAAGCAUCCUCAUGUAGCUCAAGCAACAAGGUGGCGACUCUAGAAGAAGAAGAAGCAGCCAAGACUCAGUAAGAGAAGUUGUAUCUCCAAGAAGAGGCUGAUCUGGUGUGUCCGAGCACUUCAACCUAACAAGAGGUUAGGUGAAAGGGGGAGAGACCAAGAUUAGACAGUAAGGAGAGUACAAGGCGUGGGAUGAUUGUAGAGGCCAUGAUCUAGAGUCUUUGUGUCCCUUACAUUGUUGGUAAGGCACAAAGACUCACUGGCCAAUCCCUAGGCCUUGGAGACUUUACUCUUUUUCCCUCAUCAAGGUUUUGUCCCAAAGGGUUUUCCUUGGUGAGGUUUUUAAUGAGGAAGUUCUUCAAGGUUCCAAGCUUGACUUAGGAUCAACUAGAGUCAAGCUUGAGGGGGAAAUCCGGAUUGUACUGAGCUUAGCUGUGAAUCUUGGAUGGGGGUUAUGGCAAAUGGAUGUGAAGAAUGCGUUUCUACAAGGUGUGUUAACUUGAAGAGAAGAAGUGGAGAAGCAAAAGUGAUGAGUUGAGUUGGUGCUUGUGCAAAGACAUGGCAAGAUCUUCAGAGAUUGUAUGUUAAGGCUUUGGGAGAGUCUUAAGGCUUCAGAAGUGGUUUGAUGAGUGUGCAAAGAUAGGGUUAAGUCCAGGAGGGACUUAGACACCAUUUAGAGAAGAUUUGGAUCAGACAGUAACUCCAAAGUUACCACAGUAACUUUGGAGAGUUACCACAGUAAGAUUGGAGAAGUUUGAGCCAGGAGGGACUUAGACACCAUUUAGAGAAGAUUUGGGUCAGACAGUAACUCCAAAGUUACCACAGUAACUUUGGAGAGUUACCACAGUAAGAUUGGAGAAGUUUGGGCAAGUUGGUGUAAAAGUGAAUAGUGAAUCACUAGUCACUAUUCAGGUUGACUAUUCACUAUUUGGAUCACUAUUCAGGAUGUGAGGCACCAAGGUUUGAAUCUAGUCAAAGGGAAUCAAGAAGAUGCUGUGUGGAGCUGAUUGGUUAC
Molecule: long non-coding RNA, 3522 nt
Filed under: Brassica napus (rape)
Lineage: Eukaryota; Viridiplantae; Streptophyta; Magnoliopsida; Brassicales; Brassicaceae
Description: long non-coding RNA (BNAP_LNC023420)
Source: RNAcentral